Molecule: ribosomal RNA, 374 nt
Filed under: uncultured organism
Description: partial 16S ribosomal RNA
Rfam family: Bacterial small subunit ribosomal RNA
Source: RNAcentral
GUAGGUGGCAAGCGUUGUCCGGAAUUAUUGGGGCGUAAAGCGCGCGCAGGCGGUUCUUUAAGUCUGAUGUGAAAGCCCACGGGCUCAACCGUGGAGGGUCAUUGGAAACUGGAGAACUUGAGUACAGAAGAGGAAAGCGGAAUUCCACGCGUAGCGGUGAAAUGCGUAGAGAUGUGGAGGAACACCAGUGGCGAAGGCGGCUUUCUGGUCUGUAACUGACGCUGAGGCGCGAAAGCGUGGGGAGCAAACAGGAUUAGAUACCCUGGUAGUCCACGCCGUAAACGAUGAGUGCUAAGUGUUAGGGGGUUUCCGCCCCUUAGUGCUGCAGCUAACGCAUUAAGCAUUCCGCCUGGGGAGUACGGCCGCAAAGGCUG